AGAGUUUGAUCCUGGCUCAGGAUGAACGCUAGCGGCAGGCUUAACACAUGCAAGUCGAGGGGCAGCACGGUAGCAAUACUGGUGGCGACCGGCGCACGGGUGAGUAACGCGUAUGCAAUCUACCUUUAACCGGGGAAUAGCUUCGAGAAAUCGAAAUUAAUAUCCCAUAAUAUUCCGAAGAGGCAUCUCUUUGGUUUUAAAGCUCCGGCGGUUGUAGAUGAGCAUGCGUGUCAUUAGCUAGUUGGUAAGGUAACGGCUUACCAAGGCUACGAUGACUAGGGGGUCUGAGAGGAUGAUCCCCCACACUGGUACUGAGACACGGACCAGACUCCUACGGGAGGCAGCAGUGAGGAAUAUUGGUCAAUGGGUGCAAACCUGAACCAGCCAUGCCGCGUGCAGGAAUAAGGUCCUAUGGAUUGUAAACUGCUUUUAUACGGAAAAAAACCCUUCGACGUGUCGGAGGCUGAUGGUACCGUAAGAAUAAGGAUCGGCUAACUCCGUGCCAGCAGCCGCGGUAAUACGGAGGAUCCAAGCGUUAUCCGGAUUCACUGGGUUUAAAGGGUGUGUAGGCGGGGUAUUAAGUCAGUGGUGAAAGCCUACAGCUUAACUGUAGAACUGCCAUUGAAACUGAUAUUCUUGAGUACAAUUGAGGUAGGCGGAAUGUGUGGUGUAGCGGUGAAAUGCUUAGAGAUCACACAGAACACCGAUUGCGAAGGCAGCUUGCUAAAUUGUAACUGACGCUGAGACACGAAAGCGUGGGGAUCAAACAGGAUUAGAUACCCUGGUAGUCC
RNAcentral lists this ribosomal RNA (791 nucleotides) under uncultured bacterium. RNAcentral's name for it is "bacterial SSU rRNA". It matches the Rfam family "Bacterial small subunit ribosomal RNA", at positions 8 to 796 of the family's 1533-position model. The record is from RNAcentral.